UACGUAGGGUGCGAGCGUUAAUCGGAAUUACUGGGCGUAAAGGGUGCGCAGGCGGCGUCGCAAGUCAGGCGUGAAAUCCCCGGGCUUAACCUGGGAAUGGCACUUGAAACUACGAUGCUGGAGUAUGGCAGAGGGAGGUGGAAUUCCACGUGUAGCGGUGAAAUGCGUAGAUAUCUGGAGGAACACCGGUGGCGAAGGCGGCAUCCUGGACCAUUACUGACACUGAAAAGCGAAAGCCAGGGGAGCAAACGGG
RNAcentral lists this ribosomal RNA (253 nucleotides) under uncultured bacterium. Its description in RNAcentral is "partial 16S ribosomal RNA". It matches the Rfam family "Bacterial small subunit ribosomal RNA", at positions 524 to 776 of the family's 1533-position model. The record is from RNAcentral.